GUUGGUGUGGCAGAGCCCGGAAAUUGCAAAAGACCUAAACCCUUUAUACAGAGGUUCAAAUCCUCUCCCCAACU
This 74-nucleotide transfer RNA is filed under the name Cephalopholis boenak (chocolate hind). RNAcentral's name for it is "tRNA-Leu". It matches the Rfam family "tRNA". From Rfam's summary of the family: Transfer RNA (tRNA) molecules are approximately 80 nucleotides in length. Their secondary structure includes four short double-helical elements and three loops (D, anti-codon, and T loops). Further hydrogen bonds mediate the characteristic L-shaped molecular structure. tRNAs have two regions of fundamental functional importance: the anti-codon, which is responsible for specific mRNA codon recognition, and the 3' end, to which the tRNAs corresponding amino acid is attached (by aminoacyl-tRNA synthetases). tRNAs cope with the degeneracy of the genetic code in two manners: having more than one tRNA (with a specific anti-codon) for a particular amino acid; and 'wobble' base-pairing, i.e. permitting non-standard base-pairing at the 3rd anti-codon position. RNAcentral also lists the same sequence under 1 other name. Lineage: Eukaryota; Metazoa; Chordata; Actinopteri; Perciformes; Serranidae. The record is from RNAcentral.